UACAGAGGUCCCGAGCGUUGUUCGGAUUCACUGGGCGUAAAGGGUGCGUAGGUGGCGAUGAAAGUUCGAUGUGAAAUCUCCGGGCUUAACCCGGAAAAGGCAUUGAAAACUAUGUUGCUUGAGGUUUGGAGGGGGGACUGGAAUUCUUGGUGUAGCAGUGAAAUGCGUAGAUAUCAAGAGGAACACCAGUGGCGAAGGCGGGUCCCUGGGCAACACCUGACACUGAGGCACGAAAGCUAGGGGAGCAAACAGG
This 253-nucleotide ribosomal RNA is filed under the name uncultured bacterium. RNAcentral's name for it is "partial 16S ribosomal RNA". It matches the Rfam family "Bacterial small subunit ribosomal RNA", at positions 524 to 776 of the family's 1533-position model. The record is from RNAcentral.